AUGCACGCUGGCGGCGUGCCUAAUACAUGCAAGUCGAGCGAACGGACGAGAAGCUUGCUUCUCUGAUGUUAGCGGCGAACGGGUGAGUAACACGUGGAUAACCUACCUAUAAGACUGGGAUAACUUCGGGAAACCGGAGCUAAUACCGGAUAAUAUUUUGAACCGCAUGGUUCAAAAGUGAAAGACGGUCUUGGUGUCACUUAUAGAUGGAUCCGCGCUGCAUUAGCUAGUUGGUAAGGUAACGGCUUACCAAGGCAACGAUGCAUAGCCGACCUGAGAGGGUGAUCGGCCACACUGGAACUGAGACACGGUCCAGACUCCUACGGGAGGCAGCAGUAGGGAAUCUUCCGCAAUGGGCGAAAGCCUGACGGAGCAACGCCGCGUGAGUGAUGAAGGUCUUCGGAUCGUAAAACUCUGUUAUUAGGGAAGAACAUAUGUGUAAGUAACUGUGCACAUCUUGACGGUACCUAAUCAGAAAGCCACGGCUAACUACGUG
Molecule: ribosomal RNA, 496 nt
Filed under: uncultured bacterium
Lineage: Bacteria
Description: partial 16S ribosomal RNA
Rfam family: Bacterial small subunit ribosomal RNA
Source: RNAcentral